Molecule: ribosomal RNA, 406 nt
Filed under: uncultured bacterium
Lineage: Bacteria
Description: partial 16S ribosomal RNA
Rfam family: Bacterial small subunit ribosomal RNA
Source: RNAcentral
AUUGAACGCUGGCGGCAGGCUUAACACAUGCAAGUCGAACGAGUGGCGGACGGGUGAGUAAUGUCUGGGAAACUGCCUGAUGGAGGGGGAUAACUACUGGAAACGGUAGCUAAUACCGCAUACCAUCAGAUGUGCCCAGAUGGGAUUAGCUUGUUGGUGGGGUAAUGGCUCACCAAGGCGACGAUCCCUAGCUGGUCUGAGAGGAUGACCAGCCACACUGGAACUGAGACACGGUCCAGCCUCCUACGGGAGGCAGCAGUGGGGAAUAUUGCACAAUGGGCGCAAGCCUGGUGCAGCCAGGCCGCGUGUAUGAAGAAGGCCUUCGGGUUGUAAAGCAGUUGCAGCGGGGAGACGUUACCCGCAGAAGAAGCACCGGCUAACUCCGUGCCAGCGGCCGCGGUAAUAC